RNAcentral lists this transfer RNA (73 nucleotides) under Agrilus planipennis (emerald ash borer). It matches the Rfam family "tRNA". From Rfam's summary of the family: Transfer RNA (tRNA) molecules are approximately 80 nucleotides in length. Their secondary structure includes four short double-helical elements and three loops (D, anti-codon, and T loops). Further hydrogen bonds mediate the characteristic L-shaped molecular structure. tRNAs have two regions of fundamental functional importance: the anti-codon, which is responsible for specific mRNA codon recognition, and the 3' end, to which the tRNAs corresponding amino acid is attached (by aminoacyl-tRNA synthetases). tRNAs cope with the degeneracy of the genetic code in two manners: having more than one tRNA (with a specific anti-codon) for a particular amino acid; and 'wobble' base-pairing, i.e. permitting non-standard base-pairing at the 3rd anti-codon position. The record is from Rfam by way of RNAcentral. Lineage: Eukaryota; Metazoa; Arthropoda; Insecta; Coleoptera; Buprestidae.
CCUUUCGUAGCUUAAUGAUAAGAACAUUGGUGUACAAAGUCAAAGGUCCCGGGUUCGAUUCUCGGCGAGGGCG